GGAUGCAGAAGAAUAGAGCCCCAGGCUGCACAGUGCAGGGUGAAGACUAUGGUAUAUUUAAUUAUACAUGUUUAAGGCUGUUUUACCCUGCACUGUGUAGCCUGUGGCUCUAUACUUGUGGAUUUAU
Molecule: non-coding RNA, 127 nt
Organism: Pelobates cultripes (western spadefoot toad)
Lineage: Eukaryota; Metazoa; Chordata; Amphibia; Anura; Pelobatidae
Source: the annotation of a GenBank genome assembly